This 2216-nucleotide ribosomal RNA is filed under the name Pseudomonas aeruginosa. RNAcentral describes it as "partial 23S ribosomal RNA". It matches the Rfam family "Bacterial large subunit ribosomal RNA", at positions 728 to 2925 of the family's 2925-position model. Lineage: Bacteria; Pseudomonadati; Pseudomonadota; Gammaproteobacteria; Pseudomonadales; Pseudomonadaceae. The record is from RNAcentral.
AUCUAUCCAUGAGCAGGUUGAAGGUUAGGUAACACUGACUGGAGGACCGAACCCACUCCCGUUGAAAAGGUAGGGGAUGACUUGUGGAUCGGAGUGAAAGGCUAAUCAAGCUCGGAGAUAGCUGGUUCUCCUCGAAAGCUAUUUAGGUAGCGCCUCAUGUAUCACUCUGGGGGGUAGAGCACUGUUUCGGCUAGGGGGUCAUCCCGACUUACCAAACCGAUGCAAACUCCGAAUACCCAGAAGUGCCGAGCAUGGGAGACACACGGCGGGUGCUAACGUCCGUCGUGAAAAGGGAAACAACCCAGACCGCCAGCUAAGGUCCCAAAGUUGUGGUUAAGUGGUAAACGAUGUGGGAAGGCUUAGACAGCUAGGAGGUUGGCUUAGAAGCAGCCAUCCUUUAAAGAAAGCGUAAUAGCUCACUAGUCGAGUCGGCCUGCGCGGAAGAUGUAACGGGGCUCAAACCACACACCGAAGCUGCGGGUGUCACGUAAGUGACGCGGUAGAGGAGCGUUCUGUAAGCCUGUGAAGGUGAGUUGAGAAGCUUGCUGGAGGUAUCAGAAGUGCGAAUGCUGACAUGAGUAACGACAAUGGGUGUGAAAAACACCCACGCCGAAAGACCAAGGGUUCCUGCGCAACGUUAAUCGACGCAGGGUUAGUCGGUUCCUAAGGCGAGGCUGAAAAGCGUAGUCGAUGGGAAACAGGUUAAUAUUCCUGUACUUCUGGUUACUGCGAUGGAGGGACGGAGAAGGCUAGGCCAGCUUGGCGUUGGUUGUCCAAGUUUAAGGUGGUAGGCUGAAAUCUUAGGUAAAUCCGGGGUUUCAAGGCCGAGAGCUGAUGACGAGUCGUCUUUUAGAUGACGAAGUGGUUGAUGCCAUGCUUCCAAGAAAAGCUUCUAAGCUUCAGGUAACCAGGAACCGUACCCCAAACCGACACAGGUGGUCGGGUAGAGAAUACCAAGGCGCUUGAGAGAACUCGGGUGAAGGAACUAGGCAAAAUGGCACCGUAACUUCGGGAGAAGGUGCGCCGGCUAGGGUGAAGGAUUUACUCCGUAAGCUCUGGCUGGUCGAAGAUACCAGGCCGCUGCGACUGUUUAUUAAAAACACAGCACUCUGCAAACACGAAAGUGGACGUAUAGGGUGUGACGCCUGCCCGGUGCCGGAAGGUUAAUUGAUGGGGUUAGCGCAAGCGAAGCUCUUGAUCGAAGCCCCGGUAAACGGCGGCCGUAACUAUAACGGUCCUAAGGUAGCGAAAUUCCUUGUCGGGUAAGUUCCGACCUGCACGAAUGGCGUAACGAUGGCGGCGCUGUCUCCACCCGAGACUCAGUGAAAUUGAAAUCGCUGUGAAGAUGCAGUGUAUCCGCGGCUAGACGGAAAGACCCCGUGAACCUUUACUGUAGCUUUGCACUGGACUUUGAGCCUGCUUGUGUAGGAUAGGUGGGAGGCUUUGAAGCGUGGACGCCAGUUCGCGUGGAGCCAUCCUUGAAAUACCACCCUGGCAUGCUUGAGGUUCUAACUCUGGUCCGUAAUCCGGAUCGAGGACAGUGUAUGGUGGGCAGUUUGACUGGGGCGGUCUCCUCCUAAAGAGUAACGGAGGAGUACGAAGGUGCGCUCAGACCGGUCGGAAAUCGGUCGCAGAGUAUAAAGGCAAAAGCGCGCUUGACUGCGAGACAGACACGUCGAGCAGGUACGAAAGUAGGUCUUAGUGAUCCGGUGGUUCUGUAUGGAAGGGCCAUCGCUCAACGGAUAAAAGGUACUCCGGGGAUAACAGGCUGAUACCGCCCAAGAGUUCAUAUCGACGGCGGUGUUUGGCACCUCGAUGUCGGCUCAUCACAUCCUGGGGCUGAAGCCGGUCCCAAGGGUAUGGCUGUUCGCCAUUUAAAGUGGUACGCGAGCUGGGUUUAGAACGUCGUGAGACAGUUCGGUCCCUAUCUGCCGUGGACGUUUGAGAUUUGAGAGGGGCUGCUCCUAGUACGAGAGGACCGGAGUGGACGAACCUCUGGUGUUCCGGUUGUCACGCCAGUGGCAUUGCCGGGUAGCUAUGUUCGGAAAAGAUAACCGCUGAAAGCAUCUAAGCGGGAAACUUGCCUCAAGAUGAGAUCUCACUGGGAACUUGAUUCCCCUGAAGGGCCGUCGAAGACUACGACGUUGAUAGGCUGGGUGUGUAAGCGUUGUGAGGCGUUGAGCUAACCAGUACUAAUUGCCCGUGAGGCUUGACCA